Molecule: ribosomal RNA, 253 nt
Filed under: uncultured bacterium
Lineage: Bacteria
Description: partial 16S ribosomal RNA
Rfam family: Bacterial small subunit ribosomal RNA
Source: RNAcentral
UACGGGGGGUGCAAGCGUUGUCCGGAAUCAUUGGGCGUAAAGCGUUCGUAGGCGGCAAGGUAAGUCUGAUGUUAAAGCCCGGGGCUCAACUCCGGUUCGGCAUUGGAUACUAUCUAGCUAGAAUGUGGUAGAGGUAAAGGGAAUUCCUGGUGUAGCGGUGAAAUGCGUAGAUAUCAGGAGGAACAUCGGUGGCGAAAGCGCUUUACUGGACCAUUAUUGACGCUGAGGAACGAAAGCCAGGGGAGCAAAUGGG